CGCGAUACAGGGUGACAGCCCCGUACACAAAAAUGCACAUACUGUGAGCUCGAUGAGUAGGGCGGGACACGUGGUAUCCUGUCUGAAUAUGGGGGGACCAUCCUCCAAGGCUAAAUACUCCUGACUGACCGAUAGUGAACCAGUACCGUGAGGGAAAGGCGAAAAGAACCCCGGCGAGGGGAGUGAAAAAGAACCUGAAACCGUGUACGUACAAGCAGUGGGAGCACGCUUAGGCGUGUGACUGCGUACCUUUUGUAUAAUGGGUCAGCGACUUAUAUUCUGUAGCAAGGUUAACCGAAUAGGGGAGCCGAAGGGAAACCGAGUCUUAACUGGGCGUUAAGUUGCAGGGUAUAGACCCGAAACCCGGUGAUCUAGCCAUGGGCAGGUUGAAGGUUGGGUAACACUAACUGGAGGACCGAACCGACUAAUGUUGAAAAAUUAGCGGAUGACUUGUGGCUGGGGGUGAAAGGCCAAUCAAACCGGGAGAUAGCUGGUUCUCCCCGAAAGCUAUUUAGGUAGCGCCUCGUGAAUUCAUCUCCGGGGGUAGAGCACUGUUUCGGCAAGGGGGUCAUCCCGACUUACCAACCCGAUGCAAACUGCGAAUACCGGAGAAUGUUAUCACGGGAGACACACGGCGGGUGCUAACGUCCGUCGUGAAGAGGGAAACAACCCAGACCGCCAGCUAAGGUCCCAAAGUCAUGGUUAAGUGGGAAACGAUGUGGGAAGGCCCAGACAGCCAGGAUGUUGGCUUAGAAGCAGCCAUCAUUUAAAGAAAGCGUAAUAGCUCACUGGUCGAGUCGGCCUGCGCGGAAGAUGUAACGGGGCUAAACCAUGCACCGAAGCUGCGGCAGCGACGCUGAUGCGUUGUUGGGUAGGGGAGCGUUCUGUAAGCCUGUGAAGGUGUGCUGUGAGGCAUGCUGGAGGUAUCAGAAGUGCGAAUGCUGACAUAAGUAACGAUAAAGCGGGUGAAAAGCCCGCUCGCCGGAAGACCAAGGGUUCCUGUCCAACGUUAAUCGGGGCAGGGUGAGUCGACCCCUAAGGCGAGGCCGAAAGGCGUAGUCGAUGGGAAACAGGUUAAUAUUCCUGUACUUGGUGUUACUGCGAAGGGGGGACGGAGAAGGCUAUGUUGGCCGGGCGACGGUUGUCCCGGUUUAAGCGUGUAGGCUGGUUUUCCAGGCAAAUCCGGAAAAUCAAGGCUGAGGCGUGAUGACGAGGCACUACGGUGCUGAAGCAACAAAUGCCCUGCUUCCAGGAAAAGCCUCUAAGCAUCAGGUAACAUCAAAUCGUACCCCAAACCGACACAGGUGGUCAGGUAGAGAAUACCAAGGCGCUUGAGAGAACUCGGGUGAAGGAACUAGGCAAAAUGGUGCCGUAACUUCGGGAGAAGG
Molecule: ribosomal RNA, 1388 nt
Filed under: Escherichia coli
Lineage: Bacteria; Pseudomonadati; Pseudomonadota; Gammaproteobacteria; Enterobacterales; Enterobacteriaceae
Also listed under: 1 other name
Description: partial 23S ribosomal RNA
Rfam family: Bacterial large subunit ribosomal RNA
Source: RNAcentral